UUGAUUGGAGCAGUCACARGAAGACUGAGUUGCCCUCAAAAUCAGAGCCGGGGCAGGGGGCAGCCGAAUUGCUGCAGGUUGCCUGCUGUUUUGCUCUCUCCCUUCGCCCUGUUCUCGUUGCUCUGUUCGCUACCCGUGUGUCGGGACRCGGCCGAGCUGCGCGGUCCCUUGCUGCCUCCGUGGCUCUGCAGGGCGGCGAGGCAGGCGAGAGCCCCGCCGUCGCGAACCCGCGCCGAGGGGCAGCGGCGGAGCUUCAGGGGCUGCGGCGAUGCUUUCCCAGCUGCUCCUUCCUUUCCAGGCUGGCUCAUCCAUCUCCUGCUGCUCCAAAGACCAGAUGCCCUGAUAUUUUCCAAGGAGAUGGCAGCUUUUCACGGAGCCAGGCAGAGGUUCCUGGAGCGAGCAGAGAAGGCAGGCGGAUAAAUCGCCCGGCACCCGCCCCGUGUAGAGGAGCUUGCAGGACCACAGUCGCCGUGCCGCUGCAGGCAUGCGGYGAGGACCUGGAGGAGCAACGAGUUSCUCCUGGACUCAAAUUAAUCAGCUUUGCUGUGGCUGGAGRGCAAGAAGGCCAACCGCCGAGCCGAGGAGCRGCUCCCGCCUGCCCCAGCGGCCGCUCGGGGCAGGAACGGCGUGGGAAGAAGCCGUCCUGGUCCCUGCCACAACCUCUUUAUCGCUGCUCUGCGAGAGCCCUUCCCAGCYGCUCGGCAGUGACUGAUCGCCCCGUGCCUCCCAGGUAGGAAGCAGCCUGAUUUAAGCAGACGCCCUUUGCACGUCKCACCGUUUGGUUGGGAAGUGCAGACGAGGCAAUUUGCUCAAUGGCUCUUUUGGUGUUGGAGGAGGUCAAUGAUGAAUCAUUCCUGCGCUUUAUGAUGGUCUAUAAUAAGGCAACACAUCUGCUUAUUUUAUGGGAGUUGUAAUCUGCGGAAGGGAUCCUGAUUAGGCCGGUCAGCCGUGAUUUACCUGGGUGACAGGAUUUAUUUGUGCCUCUCGUUGCUCAGACUGCAUUCACCCUGGGGACGAGUCCCAGCCRGCAGCCGUGGGAGCAAGGAGCAAGUCCGACACCAUGGGUGCCAGCCCCUGCCACCCACCCUGCCGCACGCCGGGGCCGAGGGGCAGCCUGGGGCUCAUCCCCACUCCCUUUUCCUGCGUAAAC
RNAcentral lists this long non-coding RNA (1150 nucleotides) under Dromaius novaehollandiae (emu). RNAcentral describes it as "lncRNA (ENSDNVG00000013098.1)". The record is from RNAcentral. Lineage: Eukaryota; Metazoa; Chordata; Aves; Casuariiformes; Dromaiidae.